GUAGGGAAUAUUGGGCAAUGGGCGCAAGCCUGACCCAGCCAUGCCGCGUGAGGGAAGAAGGCCCACUGGGUUGUAAACCUCUUUUCACUGGGAAUAAAGGUCGUAUAACUUACGGCUGUGAAUGUACCAGUGGAAUAAGCACCGGCAAACUACGUGCCAGCAGCCGCGGUAAUACGUAGGGUGCAAGCGUUGUCCGGAUUUACUGGGUUUAAAGGGUGCGCAGGCGGGCUAUUAAGUCUGUGAUGAAAUGUCAGGGAUCAACCUUGGCGCUGUUGCGGAAACUAAUAGUCUUGAGAUCUGUUGAGGUAGCUGGAAUGAGUGGUGUAGCGGUGAAAUGCGUAGAGAUCACUCGGAACACCGAUUGCGAAGGCAGGUUACUAAGCAGCAUCUGACGCUCAGGCACGAAAGCGUGGGUAGCAAACAGGAUUAGAUACCCUAGUAGUCC
This 445-nucleotide ribosomal RNA is filed under the name uncultured bacterium. RNAcentral describes it as "partial 16S ribosomal RNA". It matches the Rfam family "Bacterial small subunit ribosomal RNA", at positions 354 to 796 of the family's 1533-position model. The record is from RNAcentral.